This is a long non-coding RNA of Oryzias melastigma (Indian medaka), 299 nucleotides long. RefSeq lists it as uncharacterized. NCBI's taxonomy places the organism in Eukaryota, Metazoa, Chordata, Actinopteri, Beloniformes, Adrianichthyidae. The transcript has 2 exons. The record is from RefSeq and is a predicted model, not a curated record.
CGGAAACUCCCGGCGAUGUUUAUAUUGAAGAUGAGGCCAACCGAACUAUACUGGGGGAACGGCAGUUUUAUCACAACCUAACAUGAAGCGGGAGAAUUGAUAUACGCCUGACCAAUCGUGAGAUCAAAGGCAUAAAAAAAGGGGUCUGCGGAAUUUCCAGCCACAACAACACUCCCCUCGUUCUGUGCCCUUGGUCAAGGCUCCACACCCAGUUCUGCUGUCUCCCACACACACACCAUCUGUCGAAGUCCCUCUGAUACAGCUGUUUGCGACUGCUGGAGAUCCAGUAAAUCUUUUUU